Molecule: ribosomal RNA, 310 nt
Filed under: Salmonella enterica subsp. enterica serovar Panama
Lineage: Bacteria; Pseudomonadati; Pseudomonadota; Gammaproteobacteria; Enterobacterales; Enterobacteriaceae
Description: partial 23S ribosomal RNA
Rfam family: Bacterial large subunit ribosomal RNA
Source: RNAcentral
UCCUGUCUGAAUAUGGGGGGACCAUCCUCCAAGGCUAAAUACUCCUGACUGACCGAUAGUGAACCAGUACCGUGAGGGAAAGGCGAAAAGAACCCCGGCGAGGGGAGUGAAAAAGAACCUGAAACCGUGUACGUACAAGCAGUGGGAGCACCCUUUGGGGUGUGACUGCGUACCUUUUGUAUAAUGGGUCAGCGACUUAUAUUCUGUAGCAAGGUUAACCGUAUAGGGGAGCCGGAGGGAAACCGAGUCUUAACCGGGCGUUAAGUUGCAGGGUAUAGACCCGAAACCCGGUGAUCUAGCCAUGGGCAGG